RNAcentral lists this ribosomal RNA (253 nucleotides) under uncultured bacterium. RNAcentral describes it as "partial 16S ribosomal RNA". It matches the Rfam family "Bacterial small subunit ribosomal RNA", at positions 524 to 776 of the family's 1533-position model. The record is from RNAcentral.
UACGUAGGGGGCAAGCGUUGUCCGGAAUCAUUGGGCGUAAAGCGCGUGUAGGCGGUUCGGUAAGUCGGCUGUGAAAGUCCAGGGCUCAACCCUGGGAUGCCGGUCGAUACUGCCGGACUAGAGUUCGGAAGAGGCGAGUGGAAUUCCCGGUGUAGCGGUGAAAUGCGUAGAUAUCAGGAGGAACACCGGUGGUGUAGACGGCUCUCUGGACCAUAACUGACGCUGAGACACGAAAGCGUGGGUAGCAAACAGG